AGUGAACGCUGGCGGUAGGCCUAACACAUGCAAGUCGAACGGCAGCACAGAGGAGCUUGCUCCUUGGGUGGCGAGUGGCGGACGGGUGAGGAAUACAUCGGAAUCUACUCUGUCGUGAGGGAUAACGUAGGGAAACCUACGCUAAUACCGCAUACGACCUACGGGUGAAAGCAGGGGAUCUUCGGACCUUGCGCGAUUGAAUGAGCCGAUGUCGGAUUAGCUAGUUGGCGGGGUAGAGGCCCACCAAGGCGACGAUCCGUAGCUGGUCUGAGAGGAUGAUCAGCCACACUGGAACUGAGACACGGUCCAGACUCCUACGGGAGGCAGCAGUGGGGAAUAUUGGACAAUGGGCGCAAGCCUGAUCCAGCCAUACCGCGUGGGUGAAGAAGGCCUUCGGGUUGUAAAGCCCUUUUGUUGGGAAAGAAAUCCAUCUGGUUAAUACCCGGGUGGGAUGACGGUACCCAAAGAAUAAGCACCGGCUAACUUCGUGCCAGCCGCCGCGGUAA
This 506-nucleotide ribosomal RNA is filed under the name uncultured bacterium. Its description in RNAcentral is "partial 16S ribosomal RNA". It matches the Rfam family "Bacterial small subunit ribosomal RNA", at positions 29 to 523 of the family's 1533-position model. The record is from RNAcentral.